This 11643-nucleotide long non-coding RNA is filed under the name Gossypium barbadense (sea-island cotton). Its description in RNAcentral is "long non-coding RNA (GBAR_LNC018253)". Lineage: Eukaryota; Viridiplantae; Streptophyta; Magnoliopsida; Malvales; Malvaceae. The record is from RNAcentral.
UAUGUGAGAUCAAUCCCUUUUAUAUAUACAUAUAACCUAAUAUACUAUAAUAUAAAUAGGGGUUAUGCUUCAAGAACACGUGUGGGGAGUUAUGGGAAAUGGAAGCAAACAGGUAAAUUUGUGUCUCCGACACAUAUGAUGAUUACCUUGUGAGUGAAGAAAAAAAAGCAAAAAAAAUAAAAAAUCCAAAAAGACAAUAAUUAAUUGAGUCAAACACAAGACGACCCUUUGUUGUGUAAUGUAUAGUGUAUGUAUAUGUUUUGUGGUUCCACUCCAACCCUAGGAGGUCCCCCUCCAAUCCGUUUUCCACUCUAUCCCCAUCAACCAACAAACACCCCCUCCCUAUCUAUAUAUUUGGUUAAAUUUUAAUAUUAGUCCCUUCUUAUAUAAAAGUUCUACAUUUAGUUGUUAUACUUUAGUUUGGUUUUUUUUAGUUUGUGUACAUUUUGAAUUUUGAAAUUUCAAUGUUGCGCUCUGUUCAAAGCCUCUCGUCUCCUCUCCAUAAAUCUCUCACUCAACGCAGAGCGAAUAGGCGGAGACUUCCAAGAAUCUAUCGCAUCAGCUAAUCACGCUCUAAAGGUAACAAUUUCUCUAAAUUUUCAAUAUUAAACUUUUUAAGCAAAUAUCAGAUCUGAAUCUGAUGUUCUACUUUUUAGCUUCAAUUUGUUCUAGUUCAUCACUAUUUCAUUCUUUUUUAUUUAUUUAUCUAUAUUAUAGCUGCACUUUUAGUUUUUCUUCAUUGUUUGUUAUUAGAUCUGAUUAUUUUCUGAUACUGUUGAUCUGUGGUGAAAUGUUUUGAAAUGUUUUUGCCUACGUUCGAUCUGAUCUAUCGUGUAUAUAUUAUUUUUUCUUGAAAUUUACGCUUGAUUCGUUAGAUCUAUUGGUGUUUACUGCUUUUGGCUGCAAAUCGGUGGUGUGAGAAUCUGUUUGGUUUGUAUCCAACUCUCACUUGUUGAAAUUUUAGAUCCAUUGAUUUCCGUCACUUUUAGAGAGUCUCCUUUUUCACUCAAGAAAAUAGAUCAUUUUUCACUACCUUUAGAUCAGCUGCUGUUUCUGCCUUUUCAAACUUCAAUACGAGGCAAAAUAUAUAUGUAUUUAUUUGUAAUAUCCCUUACUGAAAUUACUUGCAUAAAUUCAAAAAAGUUGAUAUGUUUAUACAUGCAGUGCAUUUUAGGUGAUUGUUUACCGUUCAAUAUGGUAUUUAUUUUAUGGUUUCUGCUUAAAAUUGCCGCGUUGAUUAUGUUCUUGUAUCUGUGAUUCAAUUUUGUAUGUCCUUUUGUUUUUACUUCUAGUAAUAUGUUGUUCUUGAUGAGAUGUUCCAAUCUUGCAGCAUAUCCCCUUAGUAUGCCUUGUUGCACGGUUUACUCUUUCUUGUUAAAAUAAAACCGUGAUUCCACUUGAUGUCUUCUAUAUUUAGUUUUUCUUGGCUAUAACAUUUUUGUAUCCAUAAUCUUACAUCUGGCUUUGUUUCAUUGUUGACAGUUAAUGUGCAUUUCUUUUCAUUCUAUUCUGUGUGUUCAUGUGCUCAUUUUCUUUCUUUCAAUGAAUUCAGAAUGGAUCAGGUUCAACACCCAUCUAUCAUGCAGAAGGUAGCAGGCCAGCUCCUUCGUUCUAGCCAUUCUCAAGAUUUUCAAGGUUAUAAUGGGUCUUUCAGGAGUCCUGCUCUAUGCCAAAGGCGUGCUGCAUAUGGCAAUUACUCCAAUGCUGCACUGCAGCAUCCUGUCCGGGCUUGUGGAGACCUGUCUAUGGUUCCAUCAACAGCUUCUGCUAUUUGCGUUCAGGCUCCUGCUGAGAAAGGAUUUAGCAGCUUUGCUAUUGAUUUCCUCAUGGGUGGAGUUUCUGCUGCUGUAUCAAAAACAGCUGCUGCACCAAUUGAGCGUGUUAAGCUUUUGAUUCAGAACCAGGAUGAAAUGAUCAAAAGUGGAAGGCUCUCUGAACCUUACAAGGGUAUUGGUGAUUGUUUCAAGCGAACAAUCAAGGAUGAAGGAUUUGGUUCUUUGUGGAGAGGGAACACUGUCAAUGUUAUUCGUUAUUUCCCCACUCAGGUUAGCAAUUCUAACUUUUUAUAUAUUACAUUUUCUUUCGAUUAUAUUUAUUGCUCGUGUUUUAUACUUAUUCCUUUGUUCAUUUUUCUACAGGCCUUGAACUUUGCCUUCAAGGAUUACUUCAAGAAGCUUUUCAACUUCAAGAAAGACAGAGAUGGUUACUGGAAAUGGUUUGCUGGGAACUUGGCAUCUGGUGGUGCAGCUGGUGCUUCUUCCCUUCUCUUUGUCUACUCCUUGGAUUAUGCUCGAACUCGUCUUACAAAUGAUGCAAAGGCUGCAAAGAAGGGAGGAGAGAGACAAUUCAACGGUUUUGUUGAUGUCUACAGGAAAACCCUAAAAUCUGAUGGUAUUGCCGGGCUUUACCGUGGUUUCAACAUUUCAUGUGUUGGAAUCAUUGUUUACCGUGCUCUAUAUUUUGGAAUGUACGACUCUCUGAAGCCAGUGCUUUUGACUGGAAGCAUGCAGGUUAGUAUGCAGGAUGUUAUCUGAUACAGCUAUAUAUGUUGUCUUGUUACUUAAGCUAUAUUGUUUUUGUUGUAAUGACAUCUUGCUCUGUGUUACCCUUUGAUAAUUACAGGAUAGUUUCUUCGCUAGCUUUGCUCUUGGUUGGCUCAUCACAAAUGGUGCUGGCCUUGCAUCUUACCCAAUUGACACUGUUCGUAGAAGAAUGAUGAUGACUUCUGGUGAAGCUGUCAAAUACAAGAGCUCGCUCGAUGCCUUCUCUCAGAUCUUGAAAAACGAAGGUGCCAAGUCUCUAUUCAAGGGUGCUGGAGCUAACAUCCUUCGUGCCAUUGCCGGUGCGGGUGUGCUCGCUGGAUACGACAAGUUGCAGCUCAUUGUUUUCGGAAAGAAGUACGGAUCCGGUGGUGCUUAAAUUUAGGGUGGUACUAUCUCUCCCUUCUUUUGUUAUGUUUUAGGUUUUAAAGAUGGCGAUGAAAAGCUCGACACAUUAAGAAAUUUAUUUCGGCAAAAAAAUUCAUUAAUAAUUCAGAUUUAGGGGGGGAAGUUACUCCCUAAACGAUUUAUACUUUUGGGAUGUGAAAUUUUGAUUUACCCAUCUCGGAUUUUUGGUUUGGUUUUAAGAAAUGAAGUGAUGGAUGUUUUAUUUAUAUCUGAAAACGGAAAUGAUCUGAAGUUUCAGGUUGAAAAUUGGUUAACCAUCCAUGGAAUUUAAUUUUAUGCUUGAUGAAUUUAUAUGAUGAUAUUUGUUGUCUUGAUGCACAACGUUACUUUGUAAACUGAUUUGAUAGUGAAUUUAUAGAUUGAAAUAAAGUAGUGUGAAAUUAGUGAUAUAAGAGAAUGUAUACUUUUGUUAUAUCAUCCACGCUGAAAACGAUGGUAUCAUUUUGGGUUAAGUAACUAAUCCUUGCUUUUGCUUUUGCUUUUGAAUAUUAUAUAUAUAUAAAACUCAGUUGGAAUAUUUUAACUGUUGUGCUCUUCAGUCGAAUGCGACUUCAACCGGAUUAGACUAAUAAACAAAGGAUAAAGUUCAUUUGUUCUUAUUUUUUCAUAACAUAUGAAUUUAAUGAACGUGUUAUUAUAAUAAAUAUUACGAUAAAUGUUUCAUGGAGAUUUUUAUACUAGAAAUUAAUUAGUAAAUUAAUCCUUAUAAGUUAGAUCAAAGAGAAAGUUAUCAUUCUAUUAAAAUUUCUGUUCGUUUUUGCUAUUAAAAAUUGGUCUAUGUAUGCCAACAUGAGAUACAUACGUCACACCACAUGUUACUGUUUGAAGAUAGAUUUUCUCCCUGAUCUAACGUAUAGAGACUAAUUUAUUUAUUUAUUUAUUAAUUAAAGCCCGUAAAAUGUAAUCUGACUCUUAAUACUUUUCUGCUUUUACCAUUAUGAUAUAAUCUCUCUUUACUCUUUUAGGUUCCAUUGGUUAGUUUUUGACAUGGCACUUUUUUGAGGAUUUAGAUUUAACUUCACACAAGUAUUAUUCCUUUCAUUUGUAGUUGUUUACUUUUUCUCCUUUCUGGUUUGUCUUUGGUUCAAAAAUAUCAGUCGUUUUGGUACGACUAAAUUUAAGACUCUAAGCUGCUUGUACUGUUGGUGGAAAUAGUUUUAGCCAAAGGUAAGUGUAUAAGCGUAAAAUCUUGACUAAUUACAAACUUAGCCCUCAAAUCAUACAGCAUUUUCUAUUUAGACACUUCAUGUUUUUUAAAUAAAAAAAUGGUAAUUAAACAAUCCAUUUUAUUUCAUUUUAUCUAAAAAAAAAAUAUAGCCACUAAAAACAUUAAACAUCAUACGUUUGAUAACAGUUUAAUAUGAAAAAGCAAAAAGAAUAAGGGAUAAAUAUUAAAAUUAUACAUGGAGUUUAAUUUUAUUUAAAUAUACAAUAGAAGUAUCAUGGAAGUCCCUGUAUUAGGAGCCAGAUUGUAUUUUAUCUUUUCUACUAAAAAAUGGGCAAAUUAAUUCAUAUAUGUAAGAUAAAAAAGCAAAUCGGUCUUUUUUGUUAAAAAAUCCAUCAUUCGUAUUGCUAAAAACUAGUGUGGCUGACGGGAUAAUCGAAUAGUGACAUGUGGUGUGCCACAAGUACCUCAUGCUGAUGUAUAUAGAUCAAUUUACUUUUUGAUCUAAUGUGUAGGGACUUAUUUGUCUGUUUUUUCAGUAGAGAGGGUAAAAUGCAAAUUGACUCCUAAUACAUGGACUUUCAUGAUACUUUUACCAUAAUUACACACAUUAAACUUUGAUUUUUGUUUCAAUGUAUACAAUUUAUUUUUACAUUGGAUAAGUAUAAUUAUUUGUGUAUGUAAUAUGUAAAUGUAAAAUGAUAUUAUAUCGAUAAUGAUGUUAAUUAUUUAUGAUAACUGAAAUCAAAUUAAAAUAUCAUAUACAACAUUACUCAUUAAAUCAAAUUUCAUGUGUAAUUUCAAGAUUUAUUCCUCGUACUAAAACAAAAACAAAAGUAUAUGGUAAUGAUAAUAUUCAAAUUAAUUAGAUAAAAAGUUACUAAGCCAAAAAAAAAAAAGUUAAUAGUUUUAGCCUAUAUCAAAUUUAUCAAUGGUUUGAAAUUCAUUUAUUUUAAUUUUGAAAUAGAGGAGAAAAAUAUAAUGACAAUUUUUACUAUAAAAAAUAAUUAUUAAAUUUUAUUGUAUCGAAUGAUAAAAAAAUUGAAAUUAUUUUUAAUAAAAUCUUGAGUUUAAAUUUUGUAAAUGAAAAUGAUAAUCUUGAGAGAAUUUGUCUAAACUUGACAUUAAAUAUAGUCGAGAUUCAAUAUAAUUUUGAUAUUGUAGGUAUUAGAAUAGAAAAUUAACAUGAAAAUAAGAAAAUAAUAUUAAUAAUUUAGAGAUGAAUUCGCAACUUUUAUUAUUAAUGUUGUUAAAAUCAGAUUAGAUUGGUUGGGGUGUCGGUCCGAAGAGAAAGGUUAGACCGUUUGAUUUAUGAAUUGCUCAGAAUCAGGUUAAAAAAGUUUGGACCGGCGAUUGAAUUGAUUUUAUUUAUUUUUUAGUAUAUUAGUAUUUAUGAUUUUUUAAUAAUUUAUUUAAUUAAACUGGAUGGACUGAUUGAAUUGAUAAUCUAACUGGUUCAGCCACCAUUUUGAUUCUAAAAACUUUGUUAUUAUAAGAAAUAAAAAAAAUAUUUAGGUUUAUUUAAUCAUAAAAAAACCCUAAAAAAAGGGUAAACUACACUCAAUGUCACUAAACUAUUGGUAAGUUUACGUUUUGGUCACUUAACUUUAAAAAAUUACAAAAUGAUCACUAAACUAUUUGAAAGCUUUCAUUUAAGUCACUAAAUUAUUCAAAAGUUUUUAUUUAACUCACUAGGUUGUUAAGUUUUUUCUUUUUUUUUUUAAAGUUUAGCUAGCGUGCUCCAAGCAACAAAUCAACCAUUGGUACGAUGGAUUAGUACUGAUUGACAAGAAUGGUACCACUUGAGCAUAGACGCCCUGGGCACAAUACUUCCACCUUUGAGGUUUCUGAUGCGGAAUCCCGGAUCUAGACACAAGAGAAACACAAAUUAGAAAUAAAACGAGAAUAAAUAAAAUUAGUUAAAAUAAUAAUAAAUAAAUAAAUAAUAAAAAGGAUAGAUUUGCCCUAUGGAACCCUUGGUUAACUUGUAACCAAAGACGCCAAUGAUUGAGCGGCUCUCUACGAAACCCCUAGAAGAAGAACCUCUAGAAACACCGAUGAACGGGAAAGAAAUUUGAAUAUUUGCAACUCCGAAAUACCCUCGAAAGUAACAAACUCCAAACUAAAUAGCAAGAGAAGAAUCACUCUACUCUCAAAAAUUUGCCUCACACAAAUUUGGAAGAAAAUAAAUAAUCCCUUUUUUCAUUCUGUCUCCAAUGUGUAGAAAACAAGCCUAUUUAUAGGCAAAUUACAAGAGUAAUUGAAUCCUAAUAAAAACUCUUUAAAGAGUAAUUGAAUCCUAAUAAAACUCUUUAAAAUUAUCUAAGAAAAUAAAUAAAUAAUAACCUAACCAAUAAAAUUACUUAACUCAUAAAUGAUGUGUCCCAACCAAUGAGAAUUAAGUAAAUAAUAAUAAUAAUAAGAUACAUAAAAAAUUAAUCCACCAAUUUAUGGGCUUUUACUAUUCCAAGAUUGGUCCAGUGAAUUGCAUUCCCGUAUUUAUCAAUGUCACGAACAUGAUGAAUUAAAUUUGUCGCAACAAAGUCUUGGACAAAAGCAUUCAUCUUUGAUUUUAAUUGUCGUGCCUUGCUUCGAGUGAUUGGACCACUAGGAAAGACAAUCCUUUGAGUGUCACCUCCUUGACUCGUAUCAGUUUCUCUCAAAACAAACCCAACUUCUCCUCAACAAUGUUCAUUCUUCUCAUGAACGGUGAAUUUCUAGUUUUGAAAUGAAUUUGGGUCAUUAAUGUUUGUUGGAUCGAGCGGUAAAGAGUUCGAUUUCCCUUAAAAAAGGUGGAUGGAGAAUAUAGCAUUAGGAGAGUUUUGUUUUGCCUCUUGUUUAGAGGUUUGACUUGGCUUGACUUUGGAUUUAUUUUAACCUCAGAAGAAGAAAGAAACUCGGGUCUUCCCCGAUCAUUUCAUAGGGAUUUAUGUGCUAAAACAAAGUAUAAUUAGAUAUAGUCCUUUCAAUAAAAAAUGGAAGCUUUAUUCUAUCAACACAUGCUUAAUUAAUCUACUAACAUUACUUGGUUGCUUUGAAAGAGUUUUAAAAAAUCUAUUGUUUCAAAUUUAUGCACUUUAAUAUAAAAGUAGUUAUAUUGUAAGAAGAUUUUAAUUUGAAAUUUUUAAUUUUUUUAAUUUAACUCAAACAAUUCUAUUUGAUUUAACUCGACUCGAAUUUCAUUUUGAUUAACUCGAAAAAAAAUUAAAUCGAGUUAGGAUGAUAAAAUAAGACCCGUCAAUUUGAUUAACUCGAAAAUUUUUCACUUGAUUCGAUUAAACACUCACCCCUACUCGUAGAGCUUGUAAAAUUGAUUCAUUUUAACCGAGAAUAUUAAGUCUGCCUAAUGGAAUUAGGUUAUAAUCAAGUUGAAAUUGCAAUGUGACUGUGGCGCUAUGGCUUUUUUGGGCAGACUCAAUGGUGGGCCUAAUGAAAUUAGGCAUUAAGACAUCAAAAUUCAAUGGGUUCACAUCAGAGGUGCUCAGGGGAACCGGUAGCUAAAGGCUGACAGGGCCCCGACCUCAAUAAAAUGAAAAAUUAUACAUUUAGGCUUUUUAGAAAUUUUAAAACUCCAAAUUAGUAAAGAUAAAAUUACACUUUGCCCAUUAAAAAUGAUAAAAAUUGAUUUAACCCUUUACAAAUUAAUUAUAAAAAUAAAGACUAUUAAAAAUUACAAUUUAAUUUCGGUCCUCCCAGAAAUUUACUAGCUUCAGCCCUACUCAUGGGUCGGAUCAAGCCGGACCUAAGCAUGAUAUUAACAUACUUAUGUUAGUCCAAACUUGGCCCAACUCGAAAUAUUGACCUAAAAUUUUGCCCAAACCCGUUCAUAUUUGCAAAAGGCUAACCCAAGUCCAUUUUAAACCCGCCCAUAUUAUUUUUUUAAAAUUUUUAACAAAUAUUUAUAUUAUAUUAUUUUAAUGUUUAAUAAUUUUAUACCUUUUUUAUUUAUUAAAAUUUUUAUAUAAUCAUCUUAACAUUAUUUUAAUGUUUACAUUAGAGUAAUAUUAUAUAUUUAAUAUAAAUUUAUUUUUUAAUAUGUUCUGAAUUAUAUAAUAUAUAAAAAUAACAUAAUAUAAAAUAUUAAAAACUUGAAAACGAGUCGAAUCAUCCGAACUUAAGCCUUAAAUGUUAAAACCCAAUCCCGACCCAUAUUUUAAACGAAUUUAACUUUUUACUUAAACCUAAUUUUUAAAUUUAAUAAUUUUUCCUAAAUUCUCUCAAAUUUCGGAAUCAAACAGAUAUCCCCAACCUUUUAACAGUUGUAGUCGGCAUCAUUGCUUACUUUGAAACUUUUGUUGAUUAGCCGCAUUUCAUUAAUUUUAAUUUUACAAGACAGCUGUUUUUGAGUUGUUUGAGAAUUUUCCACUCACUUUUUUUCUUGCCAGAAAAUUGUGGCAAUCACUGUCAAUAUUUUGGAUUGAAGAAUUUGAUUAUGGAUUUGGGAAGGGCCACGUUUAGGGUUUGUUGGUGAUUUUUGGUUUUUGAUUAAGUGAAAAUGAAACCUCACUCAUAAAACACUUCCUUUGUCUAGGGUCAAUAUCUUUUAUAUACAUAUCAAUUCUGGUUCAAAGCACAUAUAAUCUACGUCGAAAAUUAUUAUCGGAAAAAUUUACAAAUAGAAGAGGAAAUAUUUAUUAAUGUUGAAAAAUUAAUAAUACAAGUAAAAUUCAGACUACUUCUAUUUUAAGAGUUAAACAAUUCUAUUAUAAUUAAUGUCUAAUAGAAAAAUUAUAAUGCUAUUUUAAGAACCCUGAAUCUUUCCCCAUAAAUCCCUUAUUUUGUCUCUCUAUUUUGUUUAUUUAACAAGUUAGAGGGAUUCGAUUAACGCAAUUCUAACAUUAAUAUUCUAACGUUAAUAUAUAUAGAAAUAGUAGCGAAUGCUGUAGGGUAUCAAUGUUCCCAAAACAGCUUCUCAAUUCUUGCGUCCUUAUUAUUUGUAAACCUUCGAAUGGUACUAUUAAUGUUGCUGCUGUAAUGUUUGAGGGGUUGUGACAUGAAGAAUAAUUGGAUGGUUCCCUUCUUUACGUAACCAUAGACCAGAUGAAGAAUAAUAGGAGGGUCCCCAAAACAGUGUUGAGUAACCCGAGUAGGACUUCCCUAAAACAAGACAAAAUACGUAAACCACAUAUACCAGAUUCAAGAGCAUUCCUGUUUUACGAUGAUGGUGGUGGUUGAUGGAGACAGUGUGUAUUGAGGGAAGCUACAGUGGGUGUGUGCUCAGUGGUGGCGAUUGGCGACUGGUGAACGAUGAUGGUGGUGACUGGUGGGUGUUGGCGGAGUGGAGAAGGCAAAUGUGUUUUCUUUAUUAGUUGAUUUGAAUGGAGAAAGUGGAGGAGAGGAGAGGGCUAACUGGACCGUGGGAAAAAAGAGAGUAUAGGUUGGUUAUCCAGGUUGAGUUGGGUUCGAGAAAAAAGAUGAUGUUAAACUUGUUUUGUAAAUAGAUAUCAUUUUUUUUGACAGAUCGACUCAUGAUUAAGUCUAAGUAGAAGACAUGUGAUAAUAAUAUAGAGAGAUAUAAACUGUAUAAUUAAUUUCUUUCAAUUAUUUUCCGUACGAAAAAAGAAUUCUUUUAAUUAUUACGAUUCGAUUCGAAAAAUUCAAUAAAAAAGUCAAAUAUUAAAUUAAAUGGUUCGAGUUAUUCAGAUAAACUCGAAUAAAAAAUUAAAAUUUUUGGUUUAACUCGAAUAUGAAUUACACAAUUCGAGCUAUUCGAAAAUCCUAAUAAAAAAAAAGCCAAAUUACGUCGUUUUGAUAAAUGUUUAUUCAUCUACCUUACUUAUGUUGUUAAAUAAUCUUGUAUUUUGUCUGCUAGUUAAAUAAUCAGUCAAUGUAAAAGCAACAUCGAGUAUAAAUAAUAUGAUUCGUUAACUCGACUCGAAUCGAAAAAAUUUUAAAUUGAGUUCGGUUGUUAGAAUAGUAUUCGUCAACUCGACUAACUCGAAAAUUUUUGACUCGACUCGAUCAAAUACUCACCCCUAAUUCUUAUUGGAUAUAUUAUAAUAAUUACUAUUACAAAUUGUUAUAUUUGAGUAAUGAAUUAGACUCUAACAGAAUGUUGCCUUUAAGGAAAAGAAUGCUUUAAAAAACAAGGCUUACUUUACUGUACUGCACUUUACUGUGUUACCGGCCAUGGCUAUGGCCAUGUCGAAUAGUCGAUGGCGACAGCGUCGUAGUUUGCGUACGUAACAGUCAAAUUAGUCGGGGCCUAUACUUAGGUUCUUUUUCUUGUCUUCCUUUGAAUAAAAAUAGUGUCUGUCUGCAGGUGUGUGUUAGUUGGUGUCUUAAAUCUUAAUUAAUUAAUGUUUUGAAGUCUAAUUAACCAUGCAAAUCCCAUGCAUUGGGGGCGCAUGCUGCCGCCUACAAAUUUUAAUAUUAUUCACGUUUCUCCUCUUAAAAAUAAUUUAUUAUGAAAGGUGUUAUAUUGAUUAAAUUUUUUUGUAUACUGAUAAUAAGGAAAUGUGUAUUGUGCUGUAAAAGUAGCUUCUCUACGAAGGUUAGUCGUAACGGUAAGGUAUAUUAUAUUCUUAAAGAGAACUCGAUUUUGAAUAUUAGAGAUAUUAUUGUUGAGAAAGAUAAUUACGAGCUCCGAAAGAAUUAGUAUUUAUGAAUCAUAAAAUGGAGAUAAAUGACACUUUAUUGAGCGGGGGCAAAGCUAGAAAAAUAUUUUGGGGAUUGAAAUUAAGUUGUAGAUUUUUAUGAGAGCUAAAAUAUAAUUUCAUCAUUUUAAUAACUUAUAUCUUGAUAGUCUUUUAAAGGACUAAAUCAAAAUUGUAUCAUUUUGGGGGUUCAAAGUGUAAAUUUACCGUGCACUAACUUAAAAUUUUAUAAAUUAUAAAGGCUCAAAAGUUGAAUUUGACAUUUAGGGGGGCAAGGCCCUUGCUAGCCCCUGCCGUCAUCGGAGAGACAACCAUGAACUCUAAAAAAUUAACAAACAUUUUUACCACUACACAUAUGGUUUGGUAUAUAUUGUCACUAUACUAUAUUGAAAUUUGAUGAUUAAUCAUUCUAAUGUAAUUUGGCAUAAUAUCACACGAUGAAAGUAGAGGCACCAAAAACGAAAUCAAACCCUUCUAUAUGUGAGAUCAAUCCCUUUUGUCUCUUAUAUAUAUAACCUAAUAUACUAUAAUAUAAAUAGGGGUUAUGCUUCAAGAACACGUGUGGGGUGUUAUGUGAAAUGGAAGCAAACAGGUAAAUUUGUGUCUCCGACACAUGAUGAUUACCUUGUGAGUGAAGAAAAAAAAGCAAAAAAAAUAAAAAAUCCAAAAAGACAAUAAUUAAUUGAGUCAAACACAAGACGACCCUUUGUUGUGUAAUGUAUAGUGUAUGUAUAUGUUUUGUGGUUCCACUCCAACCCUAGGAGGUCCCCCUCCAAUCCGUUUUCCACUCUAUCCCCAUCAACCAACAAACACCCCCUCCCUAUCUAUAUAUUUGGUUAAAUUUUAAUAUUAGUCCCUUCUUAUAUAAAAGUUCUACAUUUAGUUGUUAUACUUUAGUUUGGUUUUUUUAGUUUGUGUACAUUUUGAAUUUUGA